This 8358-nucleotide long non-coding RNA is filed under the name Homo sapiens (human). RNAcentral describes it as "HSALNT0003474". The stretch from base 3929 to 4077 matches the Rfam family "Metazoan signal recognition particle RNA". The record is from RNAcentral. Lineage: Eukaryota; Metazoa; Chordata; Mammalia; Primates; Hominidae.
CUAAAAGAGAUGAUGGCAAUGGCCAGUCCAAAGCUGGUACUGUCUAGGUUCCAGAAACAGCCCAAUGAAGAAAGUAGGUGUUCUCUGCCUACCAAAACGGAAGGUCCAGUCAGAGAUUUAUGCCCUGAGAUUUACUGAAUAAAUUAUGGCAGGCCUGGUGUGGUGGCUCACGCCUGUAAUCCCAGCACUUUGGGAGGUCAAGGUGGGCAGAUCACCUGAGGUCAGGAGUUCGAGACCAGCCUGCCAAGAUGGUGAAACCUCGUCUCUACUAAAAAUACAAAAAGUUGCUGGGCACGGUGGCAGGAGCCUGUAAUCCCAGCUACUUGGGAGGCUGAGGCAGGAGAAUCGCUUGAACCUGGGUGGCAAAGGCUGCAGUGAGCUGAGAUCGCGCCACUGCACUCCAGCCUGGGUGACAGAGUUAGACUCCGUCUCAAAAAGAAGGAAAAAAAGAAUAAGUUAUGAAAAACAAGGACUAUCCAGGGAUAAGAUAAAUAAGCUUAACUGGAAGCAAAAGGGAUUUGGGGUAGACACUGAAAUCAACUUACUGAUUCUCAGGCAUGGGAGACACUAAGCAAUAUCGUUAAGGAACUGCUAUGUCCUCCUGAGUGGAAUUUUUCAGAAAGGGCAGGUGCUGUAUGAAUUGAGGAGAGAGGAGAGCAGUCAUCACUAGAUGACUGUUCAAGAACAUCUCCUGCAAGUUUAAGUGCUUCAGAAUGCAAAUACAUCUUCAAACAAACAAACAAUCCCACAUUGUAGGCAGGCUAGUCAAGGGCCUUGUAAGUCUGUAUAGAUGCUGAUGGGCCAAGCCAGCUCAGCCAUCUGCUGGGGGGAGGCAGGAUCACACAGGAGAGAGUUCUCACUUGCUGUUAUUUCCUAAAAGGUGAAAUGAUUCACCAAUUAUUCUGCAAAUGCCAGAACCCACAAAGAAGGCUAUCAACAUGCCAAAAGUUAAAUUACUUAACUUUAAUUACGACAAAGCAAAAUUCAAGGAAAAAUUACAGUUGAAUUAUACCACGUAGAUACAAAUUAGGAUGGAAUUUAAAAGUGAAAUAAAUAAUAAUUUACCCUCGCUCUAUAUCUGCAAACACCUAACUGAUUCCCACAUGCAGAGGGACUUCACUAGUCAAGAAAACAAAGGAAAAAGUGAUAAGUGAAGUAGAAGCAAAAAGAAAAAAAAAGCUCUUAACUAUCUAAUAGUUUUUGGAAUACUUGCACACAGGGGUACUUUCCAGUGGUAUAGGAGGUAGUCCCCAAUUUUCAUUAUGCCAUAAAUGUAAUUCCAUCUAGUAGAGACUUAUGUUUCACUUUUUUUUUCCAUUUCAUUUGACAGUUUGCUGAUAUCCAUUUGAGCAGCCAGUACACAGUGCUUGGGCAACCAAGAUUUUAUCUUUCUUCCAUUUUAAGAUAAAAACUUCAGAAACACAUAUACCUAAGAGUGGAGAGUAAUGAUAGCUCUCUAAAGGGAACGAACUUCCAGAUAGAAUCUCUCAAUGCAUUUAGUAAUCAUCAGUCUGACAAAAAGUGACUGGAAACCUUUUUAUGAGCAGUACUUUGCCUCCCAGGUAUGGGAAACAUGGUGAUUCCCUCAUCCCACUUUAUAGAUGAGGUCACUGAGGGAUAAAGCUGUUAUAAGAUAGUGCAAGCUUGCACACAUGGAGUUUAAACCAGUUAAUAAAACAGUACUUAAAAGCAAUCCAUCCGUGCAUGAUUGCUGUACGUCCAAUCCUGCCCAAGGCACCAAAUUCCCAUGUCUUUGUUGGUAAAGGAAAGCCAACCUUGGAUUAAACACUCAGGUGACAUGGACAUACCUAGAUGCAGCAGCAAACGCAACAGCCCGGGCAGCAGUGGCUUCUUCUAACUUCUUCCUCUUUUUCUCUUCCAUUAACUGUUUCUCUACAAAACUUCGGGCUUCCUGCUCAGCUUUUAGCUUUUUCUCCAACUGGCUGAUAUUCUGCUUGUCUUUUUGCUUCAUUUGCACAGCAUUAUGUAACCUAUAUGGAAAUGAUUGUCAUAUAAAGUCUUAAAAUUACAAAUGCCCACUAUAAACCCUUGAGAAACAUCUCUUUAUCACCUUAAGGCCAAUUAAACAGGAGGUUUGAACAGCAAAUCAAAAAUGUCAAUGCCCAGAAUGCCUGAGGAAAACACACUGUUAUUCUUUAAUAAUUCCUAAACACCAAUAAACAAGCUGCCUUACAAAACAGAGAUUAAGACCUAGCCUCUGCUCUGUUCAAGUAAGUGAUCUACAAAAGGUCAUCCAGAAAACAGGGUAAAACAAAUUUUGAACAGAGGGGAAGAUAAUUGUAGAACUAAUUCUAAUGUUCCAGAGCACCCUGAAAGAACUUCAGUCCCACCAAAGAACCACUGAUGGGACCAGCCCCAGUGAAACUAAGGUAAGGGGUGGAAAGGGGAAGGUUUUUAUUUUUCCUGAAUACAAUUUUGCUGUAGCCUACUACAGCUUUUCCUUUCCAGCUCAGGAUGUUUGCUCACAGUGUCCCCAAAUCCUCUUUUAGAGUCACAGGAUGCUUAAUUUCAGAUAGAAAUUUCAGCCAUAUUUCCUGCUUACUACCACCCCCAGCUUUACCUAUCAGCAUGAGGUGAGUUUAUCACUGGGAUGUUCUCUACAUAUCAAUGCUAGAACCACCACAAAUGCUGGUCAGAGGCAAUGGAGAGGUUAUUUGCCUGUAAUGCCCUAGCUUUUGAGUUACAUUCCUUAAAAAUGUUGAACUCCUCUUUCAACAGGGAAAGCCCAGAAAGCCAACAGCCUGUAAUGAUCAUCACUACCACGGGCACACAUUGCUGGGAGAUUUAAAAAAAGAAAAAAGGACAGACCUACACUGAGUUAAGAAGUAAUUCCAGAAUGAACUAAUCAAAAGCCUAAAUGAAUUCACACAGAAGACCUGGCUUUCUGCCUGCCUUUUCAAAUAAAAUCAAAGUUCAAUGUCAUCUUUUAGUUCUGGAAAUAAAAGUAAAUAUAGUCAAAUCCUCUAGAAAUUUUCACUCAAAGGAGCAAAAUUUUCAAAAUGUGACAGAACUACUUCUUGUCAAUUUUACUAUCCAAAAACUCAAUAACUAUUUUAAACUAAGAAGUUAUUAAAUGAGAGAAGACAAAAACAGUAAUAUUAAUAAACUGUUUUGUGGCAAUGAAAUAAGUUUUUAUAGAUUUUAUAAACAUGUUGAAUAUCUGGUACUAAAUAAAGUAUUUUAAACAUUUUAUUUAAAAACCUCUCAGCAGGUCUCUGUCACCAUAAAUCUUGUGCUCCAACCCCUGGCAACAGGAGAAGCAGUGAAGCUGCCGGGCUUACGGCCAAAGGCCUGAAAGGUGCACGUACUUGUUCUGCAGCAGCUCGUUCUCCUGCCGAAGCUGGCCCAUUUCUGAGCGGAUCCCUCGCUCGGUGCUCGAAAGGGAGCUGAUCUGACUGCGGAGCUCUUGUUCCACUUGUCUGCUGGCUUGCAGAAUCUACUGUCUGAGACUGCGUCCCACCAUGGGCCUAGAAGAAAACGGUCUGCGACGACCUCCAGAAAUUGCAGCAUCCUUGCUGAAUGACGUUCACAACUCUGGUGAUUGCGGCAGAAGAGCUCACGAGACUCAAUAACAAUGAAAAAAGGAACAAAUUACAUGCUCUAAGAAUCAUAAGAGAACUCCAUCUGUAAAAUGAAGCCUAUCUUUUCUCGUCAAUUCCUUACUCUUGUUCCAUCUAUUUUCUUUACUGCAGUAAUAGUUUCACUUUAAGUGACAGGUAUUGGAGACCUACUAUGCAUAUGUAGUGCUGAAAAUGGUCAACAAAAACUAUCGGCCAGGCGCAGUGGCUCAUGCCUGUAAUCCCAGCACUUUGGGAGCCCGAGGCAGGCGGAUCACCUGAGGUCAGGAGUUCAAGACCGGCCUGGCCAACGUGGUGAAACCCCAUCUCUACUAAAAGUACAAAAAUUAGCUGGGCAUGGUGGCGCGUGCCUGUAAUCCCAGCUACUCAGGAGGCUGAGGCAGGAGAAUCACUUGAACCCAGGAGGUGGAGGUUGCAGUGAGCUGAGAUCAUGCCACUGCACUCCAGCCUGGGUGACAAGAGUGAGACUCUGUCUCAAAAAACAAAAAACAAACAAACGAAAACUAUAAAAUCAAGUCUCUUUCUUCAUGGGAAAACUUCACAAUUAGGAACAAAGAAAUAGGAACCAAGAAAUACAUAAUUUAAAUGAUUAAACAAUAAGACAAGGAAGGCCAUGAUUAAAUAUAUGCCAGAAGGAAUAAUAACAACAGCUACUAUUUAAUGAGAACUUAUGGGCCAGGCACUGUUCUAUAGGGUUUAAUCCUAUAAUCUGUACAACUAUGGGCCAAAUGCAAUUCCUAUUCCCAUUUUUACAGAUGAAGAACUCUAGGCUAGGAAAGGAUGCAGCCCAAGGUCAUCCAGGCAGUCUAGCUCCAGAGUCCAUUCUCUUCACCAUUAGGCCAAACUAUAGCCAUGUCAUCCACAGCAUGGUAGAGGAAGAAGUGCUAUGUGAGUCUGAGGAGAGAAGACUGGGAAAGGCUUUGCAGAGCAGGUAGAGAUUGACUUGGGCCCUGAUGUUUGGAUAGGAUUUGGAGAAGUAGAAGAGGAGGGGACAUUCUAAAUGAGGGGAGAAAUGUAUUAAAAAACUCAAAGGCAGGAACAGCCAUAGACAUGUGCGGGCAAGCCAUUAGUCUGGCUUCUGAGAAAAGCUUGUACUGGGGAGAGAGUAGGAAAGGAUAGAACAGAUCUGGUAGAUAGGACUGUGGAGAGUGGUGCUGAAGGUCAGGUCAAGGAUGGCUGCCAUGUGAGCUGCAGUUGAGAAUGAAAGAAAAAUUAGAUCUACAGAGGCUGGAUCUCAAUAAUUUUGUAGUUAUUACUUUCAUUUUUUAAAUCUCUUCCUACCACAAACUAGGAAUAACAAUAUUUAUUUAGAAGAGGCUUUUUCCAUCAGGAUACAAACUCACAAGUAGGUAAAGUCAGUUUGCUCUGAUGAGAUUCUUGUUCAUGUCACUAAUUCAACAUACCAACAGAACCAAGAUUUCUGAAGGGCAAUGGUGAUCUCUUUGGAACUGUCAGCUCCAAAGACUAAGUCUUAGAGACAUGUUUUAUUAAGCACUAAAUCCCCAGAGCCCUCCACAGUGAUCAACGCUUACUCAAUAAAUGUUGCCUGACAUAGGGCAGCUUUAUUUACAUAUCUACCUUUAGGCAACUUUAAAAAACCCCCAAAACCCCAAAUCAUAAAACACUGACAGUCACCCUGCAGGUGCAAGUAGCCAGUCCUCCUGUCCAGUGCCUGGGAGCAUGGCCUAGAAACCUUUUGUUCCAAAAGCACCGCUGGGUGUCCUGACAGCUUGCUCCCCAGGGAAGGGUCACAAGUCGACAUCACACCACACUUUCCCUAUUGCCAGAGUUAUUCCAGUUGAAUGUACUCUCAGAACUGCUCUAAACAAUUACAGAUCGGCAUUUAUACCAUCACCAUACUGUCUCUCAUUCACUCCUAAGUAGCCCAAAGAAUAUAUUCCGAAAGAGGUCAAUGCUGUCAGGCUAUCCUCUUUGAGAAAUUUGGCUGAAAAUGUGUUAGGUAAUUUGUCUUUCUUCAGAAGCUGAUUUCACAGUCUGAGGAUUGCAUUUUCAGUAGAAAGGGUGAGUUUUUAGGUGAAAAUAGGGGCUAAGCCUGGUUUAGUAACAGAGUUUAGGAUCAGGGUUCUACAUUCAGCUCUGGCGCCAACUCUCUGACCCUGCACAAGGUGUGUAAUCUUCCAGGCCUCAGUUUCCUCAUCUACGGCUGAUAACUCUAAAGUUCCUCCCAGUUUGGGCUAGGAUUUCUAGGCCUGACACACUUACAGAUGGCUGCUGAUUUGCCUCUUUAGAUUAGCAAACUAAGCUGCAUCAUAUGCAGAUGCACAGGAAUCAAGUUCCACACAACCAGUCGCUGGGGAAAAACAUAUGCCACAGUUGGGAAUGAAAGAAAAAUUAAAUCUGUAGAGGCUAGAUUGUGAGAAUUUUGUAGUUGUUACUUUCUUUCAUUUUUUAAUCUUUUCCCACCACAAACUAAAAAUAACAAUAUUUAUUCUGAGCGAAAUUUUAGAGUUCCUUGAAAAAUGUAAAAAUCCAAUGAGCUAAUGCAGUUAUGAGACCAAAAAGCAUAAAAUAUCUAGAUUAUAACUUCUGAAGACCAAAGAACAUGAAAUAUAUAUAUAUAUAUAUAUAUAUAUAUAUAUAUAUAUAUAUAUAUUUUUUUUUUUUUUUUUAACCAAGUCUCACUCUGUUGCCCAGGCUGAUCUCAGCUCACUGCAAUCUCCCCCUCCUGGGUUCAAGCAAUUCUCCUGCCUCAGCCUCCCGAGUAGCCGGGAUUACAGGUGCCCACCACCACGCCCAGCUAAUUUUUAUAUUUUUAGUAGAGACGAGGUUUCGCCAUGUUGGCCAGGCUGGUCUCGAACUCCUGACUUCCUUCAGGUGAUCCACCCACCUUGGCCUCCUAAAGUGCUGGUAUUACAGGUGUGAGCCACCGUGCCCAGCCAACAAUAUAUUUUUUAAUGUGAAGCUUAUAUAAAAAUUUUAUCAAAGACUAACAGUGGCACAAUACAACAAAAAUAAAAUGAAGUGGUUACAGGAAUGUGUUCACUUUGUGAAAAUUCAUAAAUGGAACACUUGAUUUGUGCACUGGUGUGUAUAUAUGUUAUACUUCAAUAAGAAAAGGUUUAUUUAAAAAAUAAAAUAAUCUCAUAAGACACAGAACUAAAAUACUUCAGGAUUUUCAUAACUGCUACCAUGAAUUUUGUAAAACUGAAUUAUUUUCCAAAUUGUGAAUUAUUUUCCAAACUGCUGCAGCAAGCCUGAGAGUUAACACCAGCAUUCCCAGUUUAAGAAACACUGCUCUACAAGAACACUGCCCAAUGGCUAAUGGCAUGCAGGAUAACAUAAAACAGUAAAUGGCAAAAUUCUCAGCAAUUUUAAAAAAUUUAUGAUGGACAAUUUUUCAUUAGCUGUCUACAGAAAGCAUUAAUUUGCCUUGAAUGUCCAUUAUAUAUUUUAAAUCUUUACUAAGGUAGGCAGCAAAAUGAUUUACCACCUGCAUUGAGUUUAUUUUUGAUACCCAGUCACAGUAUCAAAAACUGAAUAAACAAUGGAAAAGUAUAAAUAAAAAUAUAAAUAACUCAUAAUCCUCUUAUCCAGACGAACUGCUCACUAUUUGGUGUACCUCUUUUCUGUAUGUUUUUUUCUAUUUCUUCGUACAUGUAAAUAUAUUUAAUAUUGGUGAGAGAGUACCACAUAUACAGCUUAUAAAUCACAAGUACCUUCUCACACUAUUAGACAUUUUCCAUAAAUAAUUAAUUGCUGACUAAUAUUCCAUUGUAUGGACGUACUAUACAAUCCUAUUUUCUAAGAUAUAUCUCAAUUUUUGCAUUUGCCCAAUAGAAAAAUGUAUGUCAUGAGUUUUGAAAGAAUUAUGUGUGGCCAGGUGCAGUGGCUCAGGCCUGUAAUCCCAGCACUUUGGGAAGCUGAGGCGGGCAGAUCAUCUGAGGUCAAGAGUUCGAGACCAACCCUGCCAACAUGGUGAAACCUUGUCUCUACUAAAAAUACAAAAAAAGCAGCUGGGCUUGUGCCUGUAGUUCCAGCUACCAGGGGAGGCUGAGGCAGGAGAAUCGCUUGAAGUCAGGAGGCAGAGGUUGCAGUGAGCCAAGAUCACACCACUGCACUCCAGUCUGGGCGACAGAGAGAGACUCCAUUUCAAAAAAAAAAGAAGUAUGUGUUAGCAAAUUGAACUGAAUCAAGAUAGUUGAGUGCUAGAAGCAUUUAUUAAACAGAUAACUACUAUUUGUCUUAAUGGCAUACUUAACCCUUUGGUGCUGAAGUUCAAUACUUUAUAGGUAAAAUACAGAUAUAUAAUUUAUUAGUGUGAAGUACAAAGAAGUUUUUAUUAAGUGGUGUUAAAAGGUUAAUGCAAAAUCGCCAAAUGUAUUAAUAUGAUUUUAUUAAAAUGUCAUUAGCUGAAACCUAAAUUAAAAGCAAUGAUCAGGAAGAAAACGAGGCAGAAGUAAUAGAUUAUAAGCCUUGAAACUAAUCUCAGCAGACAGGGAUAGAGAGAAUGGAGGAAAACAUCAAACCCCUUUUAUCUGAGUUAAGGGCCACACUCUUCCCUAGACUAUAGAAUUUUAAGGGAUAAAAGAGUAGUUUUCUCCAGAAGAGCUACAAUCUCAUUUAAAAAAAAAAUAAUGGGCCAGAUACAUCUGGACCAAGCUUUAAUAAGGCUUAGUCAGGAAAUAAAUGCACUUCCUUCUUGCCUAAUUCUUGUGGAACCAGUUUUCACCCUUACAAAGGCCUGCCCUGUGGCAUCACCACUUUGGACACAGACAGGGCCCAUGGCAAAGCUGGAGUU